RNAcentral lists this ribosomal RNA (447 nucleotides) under uncultured bacterium. RNAcentral's name for it is "bacterial SSU rRNA". It matches the Rfam family "Bacterial small subunit ribosomal RNA", at positions 329 to 793 of the family's 1533-position model. The record is from RNAcentral.
GACCAGACUCCUACGGGAGGCAGCAGUGGGGAAUAUUGCACAAUGGGGGAAACCCUGAUGCAGCGACGCCGCGUGAGUGAAGAAGUAUUUCGGUAUGUAAAGCUCUAUCAGCAGGGAAGAAAAUGACGGUACCUGACUAAGAAGCCCCGGCUAACUACGUGCCAGCAGCCGCGGUAAUACGUAGGGGGCAAGCGUUAUCCGGAUUUACUGGGUGUAAAGGGAGCGUAGACGGCAUGGCAAGUCAGAUGUGAAAGCCCGGGGCUCAACCCCGGGACUGCAUUUGAAACUGUCAGGCUGGAGUGCAGGAGAGGUAAGUGGAAUUCCUAGUGUAGCGGUGAAAUGCGUAGAUAUUAGGAGGAACACCAGUGGCGGAGGCGGCUUACUGGACUGUAACUGACGUUGAGGCUCGAAAGCGUGGGGAGCAAACAGGAUUAGAUACCCCUGUAC